CGAGAUAGCCGGUGGCACCCGCCUGCCAGGGCCGAUAAGGCUGCCGGAGGGAGUCUAGUCACCGGCCGCGAGGAGAGCCGGCGGGCUCUGCUGCCCCCUGCGGGGGUCUCCAGCCCCAGGGAGGGGCUCUCUGUUCUUUCGGGUCUGACUCUACCUUCUCUACCCCGCAGCCCCCAAGGAGACCCGCCUGACGACUAACGAGUUGCCAUGGCAUCCUACUACGAGAUCCUAGACGUACCGCGAAGUGCGUCCGCUGAUGACAUCAAAAAGGCAGCGUAAGCGUGAGAUCUACGACCUCUAUGGCCGGGAAGGGCUGACUGGGGCAGGUAGGUGGAGUGGGGACACCCCAGGACAGAAGUGGGUCAGGGAGGAGCAGGGAGGCCAGUCUUCUGCAGUGGAUUCUUGCUCUCACUCCAGGCUCCUGGAGUCUCCGAGCCUCGGGUGGGGUCCCCUCACUCAGGGCAAGGUGCCUGCCC
This 476-nucleotide long non-coding RNA is filed under the name Capra hircus (goat). Its description in RNAcentral is "lncRNA (ENSCHIG00010008072.1)". The record is from RNAcentral. Lineage: Eukaryota; Metazoa; Chordata; Mammalia; Artiodactyla; Bovidae.